GAAGACAAUAUUUUACUAGUGACCCAUGUCAGAAAUUGGAUUAUUGUUGUCCAGUUAUUAAAACAUUAUUUUUAUGCUAUUGUGUGCUGUGCUAUAGGGUAAAAGAACACAAACAAACACACGAUAACAUCUGUUUUUUGUCGAGACACACUUGGCUCCUGGGUCACAUGUUUGCAAAAGAGCCAGGUUUUUACAGCUGUGACCGACGCCCAGAUUACCGCGGUCGUUUUGCCACUCUUGUCACGGAGUCUGCAUCUUCUCCACUGUGACGUCUCGAUGUGCAUCGUCCAGCCGACUACAUUUGUUCAGUUGAACUGAUGUGAAAGUGGAACCACCAUCAUGCUCUCUACGUGAUGUUAGACAUGAGUCACUGGAGGAGAAACAAAAAAAGCAGAAAGACAAACUCCUGUACUGGAAAUAUGUCGUCCGUGUCAGCAGGGCCUCAGUUAACAGUUCCACCCCUAAAUCGGUUCAAGUCGCAUAUUUUCAUGACCAAGGAAAGAGCAAGGCCUCUUCCAGCUGUGUCAGGUGAUUCUGAUUAAUUUCCAGAUUGUGACAGAACAGAAAUUUGUGUGUCUCUGUGUGUGUGUGUGUGCGUGGCACAGACUUUCAGCUCAACUGCUUCCCAUUUCAGCAUUUUCCUUUUUUUCUACCCUUCUUGACUCAAAGGCUGUUUGUUGCUGAGACUGUUCCUCAAGUAAAGCAUGAAAAUGGCCGCCUAUGGAAAGAUAAACAUUUGUAAUGAGUAGAUUAAAUCAGACAUGCCAACAGUGGUCACAUUGACUGUCCUCUUUGCAAACACACAGAACACAAUACUGGUCACUGAAAGCUGCAGCUGUCUGACAGAUGACAGGGGCCUGUGUUAAAAUCAGCUUUAUUUACUGAUCUCUUUUAGUUUGCCUUAAAACACAGUUACUUGAUUCAUCGGUGUGGGUGUUUUCUGAUUUAGUGGUUUCUUUUCACCAUAUGACAAAGAAAGGUUUGAUGUUGACUUGCUGAUGUUUUUUUUGACUGGUCUCUUUUGGUUCCAGGAAACACUGUUACAGUUGAUGUUGUCCGUUCAAAGUGCAGAGAGCACGUGUUGUGUUAUCUGUUGUUUAUUUUUGCUCUGGUUACAAAGCACUUAAAUACAGUUAAACCUCAGUUUGCUUUGCCCCAGGUCACCGACGAACAAGUUAACCUUCCCAUUAACACCUGUUGUUAAAAUGGAUGCGAUUAUUUCUUCUUCUUUUUU
This is a long non-coding RNA of Solea senegalensis (Senegalese sole), 1234 nucleotides long. RefSeq lists it as uncharacterized. NCBI's taxonomy places the organism in Eukaryota, Metazoa, Chordata, Actinopteri, Pleuronectiformes, Soleidae. The transcript is spliced from 2 exons. The record is from RefSeq and is a predicted model, not a curated record.